Molecule: long non-coding RNA, 540 nt
Organism: Chinchilla lanigera (long-tailed chinchilla)
Lineage: Eukaryota; Metazoa; Chordata; Mammalia; Rodentia; Chinchillidae
Exons: 5
Source: RefSeq, a predicted model, not a curated record
AAAGCAGGGGAAGUUGGCCAUGGAGAGAGCUCAAAUAGCACUAUACAUCAUACCUAAGAUCUUCAUCAUCAAGGAGUUGAAGGAGUAGAUCUGAGUUCAGGCUUGAGACUUUCUCUGUCACGGUGCAGACAGGGCUUUUUCAGAAAACAUUUUUCAAAUAUAUGCAUGUUCUACAAGAGGAAUCUUUUGGAGGAGGCCUCUUUAAAACAGUUUGAUGGCAUCAGAUCUCUGAAUGUUUGCUGAUUUCCAUGGUAUAAUUACUCCUACCAUGGCCAAUUUUAAGCCACUGAUGAACAUAGAGUUAAGAAGACAUACACAGGAGCACAUGGAUUAUAAAGAGCCUUUUCUGAUCUCCACUGCAUAGCUGCAUCCUAGCUGGAUUUGGGCCUUGUACAGAGUGAGACCACAUCCAUCACAUUCACACUCUGAAAGCUGGCACCUAGCACAGAACCUGCUACAUCAGACUUGUCUGAACCCAAGAUAUUUUGGCAAGAAUGACAGAUCACUGGGACUUUCAUAACAAGCUGCUUUCUGAAUUUA